UACGUAGGGUGCAAGCGUUGUUCGGAUUUACUGGGCGUAAAGGGCGCGUAGGCGGCCACCGCAAGUCGGUUGUGAAAGUCAAAGGCUCAACCUUUGAAUGCCGAUGGAUACUGUCGGGCUAGAGUCCGGAAGAGGCGAGUGGAAUUCCUGGUGUAGCGGUGGAAUGCGCAGAUAUCAGGAGGAACACCGAUGGCGAAGGCAGGUCUCUGGGCCGCAACUGACGCUGAGGAGCGAAAGCAUGGGGAGCGAACAGG
RNAcentral lists this ribosomal RNA (254 nucleotides) under uncultured bacterium. RNAcentral describes it as "partial 16S ribosomal RNA". It matches the Rfam family "Bacterial small subunit ribosomal RNA", at positions 524 to 776 of the family's 1533-position model. The record is from RNAcentral.